GCCGGGGUGGCGAAACAGGCAGACGCAUGGGACUUAAAAUCCCUUGAGCAUCAAGCUCGUGCGGGUUCGAAUCCCGCCCCCGGCA
RNAcentral lists this transfer RNA (85 nucleotides) under Candidatus Acetothermia bacterium. RNAcentral describes it as "tRNA-Leu". It matches the Rfam family "tRNA". From Rfam's summary of the family: Transfer RNA (tRNA) molecules are approximately 80 nucleotides in length. Their secondary structure includes four short double-helical elements and three loops (D, anti-codon, and T loops). Lineage: Bacteria; Candidatus Bipolaricaulota. The record is from RNAcentral.